AGGGGGAGUUGUGCAGUUUGGAGGUACGCUUGUGCUGAGUUUGGUCUUUAGGCAUUGAGGGAAUCGGUUUUGGGGUUGUUUUUCUCUCCAUUUGCUUUGGCUUUGGCCAGUUUUUCUUUGACCUUUUGCUUAUGCCGAAUUUUGCUAAAGACUUCGGAUACCUCUCGGGUUUGCUUUUUUGUUUUCUUACUUUUCCCUUUUACUUUUCUUUUCUUUUUUUGUUUUGACCAAAUAGUUCUUUAGUCCCCUCUACUGAAUCUCCUUUCUCCUCCUUCUUCUUUAUGUUGCCGAAUUCUUGUUCCUUCUCCACUAUAGAUUCUUCUAAAAGGGAGUAUUGGAGUUGGUUCUUCUCUGUUUUCAUAGUUGAAUGUUGAUAGGUGAGUUCUGCAACACCCUUUGUCUAGUUCGGUCCGCGCUUUUCUAUCCAUUGAUCUCUUUUUUGUUUUUUUUCCUGCUUUGCCUCUUUUCAGUUUUCGGAUCCCUUUUUUGAUUUGCUCCUUCUUGUGUUUCAAGUUGCACUCUACCCUGUUAACAGUUUGGCAGGUGAGUAAGUGUUUGUUAUUUAUUGUAUGAGAUUCGGUUUGAAAAGAUGUAUGUAAAUUAUUAGGUUUAAUUGGAUUGUUAAGCGAAAUGCGAUCUAAGGGUUGGAAGUUAAGGGUUUUGUGACUUAUGUGCUAGGUGGAGUUCAAGAGGUGGUUGGUGCUUUUCCAAGG
RNAcentral lists this long non-coding RNA (713 nucleotides) under Gossypium raimondii (Peruvian cotton). Its description in RNAcentral is "long non-coding RNA (GRAI_LNC005510)". The record is from RNAcentral. Lineage: Eukaryota; Viridiplantae; Streptophyta; Magnoliopsida; Malvales; Malvaceae.